This 490-nucleotide ribosomal RNA is filed under the name uncultured bacterium. RNAcentral describes it as "partial 16S ribosomal RNA". It matches the Rfam family "Bacterial small subunit ribosomal RNA", at positions 29 to 507 of the family's 1533-position model. The record is from RNAcentral.
AGUGAACGCUGGCGGUAGGCCUAACACAUGCAAGUCGAACGGCAGCACAGGAGAGCUUGCUCUCUAGGUGGCGAGUGGCGGACGUGUGAGGAAUACAUCGGAAUCUGCCCAGUCGUGGGGGAUAACGUAGGGAAACUUACGCUAAUACCGCAUACGACCUUCGGGUGAAAGAGGGGGAUCGCAAGACCUCUCGCGAUUGGAUGAGCCGAUGUCGGAUUAGCUAGUUAGCGGGGUAAUGGCCCACCAAGGCGACGAUCCGUAGCUGGUCUGAGAGGAUGAUCAGCCACACUGGAACUGAGACACGGUCCAGACUCCUACGGGAGGCAGCAGUGGGGAAUAUUGGACAAUGGGCGCAAGCCUGAUCCAGCCAUACCGCGUGGGUGAAGAAGGCCUUCGGGUCGUAAAGCCCUUUUGUUGGGAAAGAAAUCUUUCAGGCUAAUACCCUGGGAGGAUGACGGUACCCAAAGAAUAAGCACCGGCUAACUUCGUG